GACGAACGCUGGCGGCGUGCCUAAUACAUGCAAGUAGAACGCUGAAGGAGGAGCUUGCUCUUCUGGAUGAGUUGCGAACGGGUGAGUAACGCGUAGGUAACCUGCCUUGUAGCGGGGGAUAACUAUUGGAAACGAUAGCUAAUACCGCAUAAGAGUAGAUGUUGCAUGACAUUUACUUAAAAGGUGCAAUUGCAUCACUACCAGAUGGACCUGCGUUGUAUUAGCUAGUUGGUGGGGUAACGGCUUACCAAGGCGACGAUACAUAGCCGACCUGAGAGGGUGAUCGGCCACACUGGGACUGAGACACGGCCCAGACUCCUACGGGAGGCAGCAGGAGGGAAACUUCGGCAAGGGACGGAAGUCUGACCGAGAAACGCCGCGUGAGUGAAGAAGGUUUUCGGAUCGUAAAGCUCGGUUGUAAGAGAAGAACGAGUGUGAGAGUGGAAAGUUCACACUGUGACGGUAUCUUACCAGAAAGGGACGGCUAACUACGUG
This 495-nucleotide ribosomal RNA is filed under the name uncultured bacterium. Its description in RNAcentral is "partial 16S ribosomal RNA". It matches the Rfam family "Bacterial small subunit ribosomal RNA", at positions 28 to 507 of the family's 1533-position model. The record is from RNAcentral.